UACAUAGGGGCAAGCGUUAUCCGGAAUUAUUGGGCGUAAAGGGUGCGUAGGCGGCGCUUUAAGUUUAAAGUAUAAGCUCAUGGCUCAACCAUGGGAGGCUUUAAAAACUGGGGUGCUAGAGUGCAGUAGAGGCAAGUGGAAUUCCAUGUGUAGCGGUAAAAUGCGUAAAUAUAUGGAGGAACACCAGUGGCGAAGGCGGCUUGCUGGGCUGUGACUGACGCUGAGGCACGAAGGCGUGGGGAGCGAACGGGAUUAGAUACCCCCGUAGUCCCUGA
Molecule: ribosomal RNA, 275 nt
Filed under: uncultured prokaryote
Description: partial 16S ribosomal RNA
Rfam family: Bacterial small subunit ribosomal RNA
Source: RNAcentral